GUUUGCUUCACUAAUGAUGUGGGUACGAAUGAACAAAAAUGUGACUAUUUUAAGCUUCACUGUUGAUGACUGAUGGCGACACGAGUAACAUGAAGCCUAAAAUAGUCACAUUUUUGUUCAUUCGUACCUACAUCAUUAGUGAAGCAAAC
This 149-nucleotide microRNA precursor is filed under the name Oryza sativa (Asian cultivated rice). RNAcentral describes it as "miR5151 stem-loop (osa-MIR5151)". The record is from miRBase by way of RNAcentral. Lineage: Eukaryota; Viridiplantae; Streptophyta; Magnoliopsida; Poales; Poaceae.